Molecule: ribosomal RNA, 253 nt
Filed under: uncultured bacterium
Lineage: Bacteria
Description: partial 16S ribosomal RNA
Rfam family: Bacterial small subunit ribosomal RNA
Source: RNAcentral
UACGUAGGGUCCGAGCGUUGUCCGGAUUUAUUGGGCGUAAAGAGCUCGUAGGCGGCUCGGUAAGUCGGAUGUGAAAACCCGGGGCUCAACCCCGGGCCUGCAUUCGAUACGGGCAGACUAGAGUUCGGUAGGGGAGUCUGGAAUUCCUGGUGUAGCGGUGAAAUGCGCAGAUAUCAGGAGGAACACCGGUGGCGAAGGCAGGUCUCUGGGCCGCAACUGACGCUGAGGAGCGAAAGCAUGGGGAGCGAACAGG